This 472-nucleotide ribosomal RNA is filed under the name uncultured bacterium. RNAcentral's name for it is "bacterial SSU rRNA". It matches the Rfam family "Bacterial small subunit ribosomal RNA", at positions 355 to 825 of the family's 1533-position model. The record is from RNAcentral.
UGGGGAAUUUUGGACAAUGGGGGAAACCCUGAUCCAGCCAUGCCGCGUGAGGGAUGAAGGCCUUCGGGUUGUAAACCUCUUUCAGACGGAACGAAACGGUUCAGGUUAAUAGUCUGAAUUAAUGACGGUACCGUAAGAAGAAGCACCGGCUAACUACGUGCCAGCAGCCGCGGUAAUACGUAGGGUGCGAGCGUCAAUCGGAAUUACUGGGCGUAAAGCGUGCGUAGGCGGCUUCGCAAGUCAGGUGUGAAAGCCCUGGGCUCAACCUAGGAAUUGCGCUUGAAACUACGGAGCUAGAGUUUGGCAGAGGGGGGUGGAAUUCCACGUGUAGCAGUGAAAUGCGUAGAUAUGUGGAGGAACACCGAUGGCGAAGGCAGCCCCCUGGGCCAAAACUGACGCUCAGGCACGAAAGCGUGGGGAGCAAACAGGAUUAGAUACCCCAGUAGUCCCUGAGCGGGCUGGCAAGGCGCAU